This 306-nucleotide ribosomal RNA is filed under the name uncultured Peredibacter sp. RNAcentral describes it as "bacterial SSU rRNA". It matches the Rfam family "Bacterial small subunit ribosomal RNA", at positions 1033 to 1340 of the family's 1533-position model. Lineage: Bacteria; Pseudomonadati; Bdellovibrionota; Bacteriovoracia; Bacteriovoracales; Bacteriovoracaceae. The record is from RNAcentral.
GAGAGGUGCUGCAUGGCUGUCGUCAGCUCGUGUUGUGAAAUGUUGGGUUAAGUCUCGCAACGAGCGCAACCCCUAUCGUCUGUUGCCAGCAUUAAGUUGGGCACUCUGACGAGACUGCCUGGGUUAACCAGGAGGAAGGUGGGGAUGACGUCAAGUCCUCGUGGCCCUUAUGUCUAGGGCUACACACGUAAUACAAUGGCGCGUACAUAGGGAAGCGAACUCGCAAGGGGGAGCAAAUCUCAAAAAGCGCGCCUCAGUUCGGAUUGGAGUCUGCAACUCGACUUCAUGAAGUUGGAAUCGCUAGUA